CAUAAUUAAAAGCUUUUAAACAACUUAAUGUUCCAAUUAAAAUUUGAAAUAUAAUGUACAUCUGACGAGUGCCUCCCCAGUCAUGAACCUCACCGCACAUCACUGCCAUAGACUUGUUGACAUGGCUGAUGCACCACCAGAUGCAGCACUUUCAUAAUUAUGAGCAUGCACUCACUUUUGCUCUUUAUUUAUUAAUGCUUGCUGAACAAACUACUGUGUCAGAUCUUUGGUUCUAGUGCAGUGACAAUUGUAGCAUAGCUUGAUGGCAAAUUACCCAGGAGUGCUUGAAGAUUAAUUUUGUCUUCCUUUUCAAGCACAGCACCUAUUGCUGAACAGUCAAUAACUUAAUUUGUUUUAAAUGUUCAGUUAAAUUUUGGAAAAGCAAAGUUUCACUGUUUUCUGCACCCAUUUCUUGCUCCUGAAAUGAUAAGUGUGUGCCACUAUUGAUGUCCGAUUAUGGUGUAUGUGUGACCUGUGUUUGUGUCUUUUAUGUCCAACUUAAUAAGACUUUUUUCUUAAGGCCACACUCUGCAUUAGAAUAAUAAAAAUGAUGAGUAGAAAAGAGGAAGAGAAAAUCCAUUGUAAUCAAAUAUUACAACAGAUGCAAAGGAGGCACCUACUUCGAUCAGGUAGUCAGCACCAACUCCUACAGAAGGAGAAUAAAUCAGUGGCCACUGGCCCUUUCCACAACCUGGUUGAACACCUUUAUCCUGUCGUGGAAGAGAUGCUGGUGACCCCCCACAUAUCAAGAGGAGAGGGCGCCUUCCCUGCUCAUCAGCUGCUGCAGGAAUGGUUGCAUAUCUGCAGAGUGCUGCUGCUGCUGUAGGUCCUUUUCUCAUGAGUAAAUAUAAGGACAGGAGGCAGCGCCAUUUUUGCACUGGUAAAUAUAAGAGUUGGCAGCACCUGCUGCAAAUGUGGGGAGUUUACAUGCAAAGUCCACAGCCUGUCCAUUUGGAGUCUCUGCUCCACCUGAGCUGAAAUCUCUGCAGCUCUCUCUUACUCACUCACUCACUCACUUACUAGCCAUCUCUAUCUUUUGCCCUAUCCCCAUCUCCAACAAAACACCUAACUGCCCCAUGUUUCAUAUUCAAUGUUCAUAUUUCAGUGUUUAUCAUUCAAUGUUCGUCUUUGCAAAAUAAAUGUUUUUUCUGGUUCAAA
Molecule: long non-coding RNA, 1158 nt
Organism: Solea senegalensis (Senegalese sole)
Lineage: Eukaryota; Metazoa; Chordata; Actinopteri; Pleuronectiformes; Soleidae
Exons: 2
Source: RefSeq, a predicted model, not a curated record